CCUCAGGGGUGACACCUCAGAGCUCCUGUUUACCUCUUUAGCCACCAGGAAGACAUUAGGACUCCCAGAGGGUGACUCCAGGGGCAGGUGGCUUGGAGGACUGGCCGUGCAAGGAGGCAGCAAAGGGGCGGCCAUCUGCAAGCUGAGGGCAGAGGCCUUGGAGGAAGCAGCCCUGCCAGUGCUGGUAACUCCUGCAGGUCGGAAGUCCAAACCAAGGUGCUGGAAGGGCUGGUUCCUUCCGGACCCUUCAGGGGAGAAUCUUUCUGCCUCUUUGGCUUCUUGAGGCCCCUUCCUGGCAUUGCUUCUUUCUCCACUGACUCCUACCAUCAGCGCUGAGUCCUGCCUGCCUCUUAUAAGAUCUUCAGAGGCCACCUGGGAUGUCAGAAGCUUCCAGGAACCAGGAGGUAGCUGCAUCUCCUGUCCCUUCCCUGAGUCACCUUGCUGGACUCCACAGUGUGGUGCAGACAAGAAGCUGCAGGGGACAACAUGGAAGGAAGCGGGGAUGGAGGAGAUGGAAUGGGAUGGGCUCUGGGCCCGGCCAAGCAGAGCAGGAUAGGGCUGAGAGUCAUCUGAGCACAGGUGGUUCAAAUGGCAGAGAAGCUCCACGCUGGAGCGGGGAAGAGCUUGGGCUUUCCGGCCAGAAAGCGCAGGUUUUGGCCACGGCUCUUCUGCCACUCACUAGAUGUGGGAGUUUGGAGGCGUUACCCGAGCUCUGAGCCUUACUUUCCUCAUCUGAAAAAUGGGAAUAAUGGUAGGGUUAAAUUAAACCAAAUUUGGUCUGAGGAUGCCUCUGCACUUUGAGUCCAACUGCGACCUUAGCAGCAAAUGAACUGCAGGCCUAGCUUAGGAGUGUACUUUUGUAAGAAAUAGCCGAGUCUUAGCCAAUCACAGCAGCUGAGCUUCUAUAAAUCGCAGGUGGCUGCUGAGUAGUCCAUGUUCAAACACGGCAAACCAAGCUGUGACCAAUGAGCUGUCUCUGCAGCUCACUUCCAUUUUCUGUCUAUAAACACUCCCUGCCCACACUGUGGAGUGGAGCUCAGCCCUUGGAACCUCUUCUGGUCUGAGGGCUGCCCACUUCAUGAAUCCUUUGCUUAAUUAAACUCAAUUCAUUUCAAAUGAAACUCAAUUGAUUGCUAGAUUAAUUUAAAUUUAAUUCGUCUAAAGUUUUCUUUUAACAGUUCCUACCUUGUUG
Molecule: long non-coding RNA, 1192 nt
Filed under: Homo sapiens (human)
Lineage: Eukaryota; Metazoa; Chordata; Mammalia; Primates; Hominidae
Description: HSALNT0356039
Source: RNAcentral